GACAGAGGAUGCAAGCGUUAUCCGGAAUGAUUGGGCGUAAAGCGUCUGUAGGUGGCUUUUUAAGUCCGCCGUCAAAUCCCAGGGCUCAACCCUGGACAGGCGGUGGAAACUACCAAGCUGGAGUACGGUAGGGGCAGAGGGAAUUUCCGGUGGAGCGGUGAAAUGCGUAGAGAUCGGGAGGAACAUCAGUUGCGAAGGCGGCUCUCUGGACCAGCACUGACACUGAGGCACGAAAGCGUGGGGAGCAAACAGG
This 253-nucleotide ribosomal RNA is filed under the name uncultured bacterium. RNAcentral describes it as "partial 16S ribosomal RNA". It matches the Rfam family "Bacterial small subunit ribosomal RNA", at positions 524 to 776 of the family's 1533-position model. The record is from RNAcentral.